ACUCUCGAAUUAAUGAUAUCCAAUCUUGGUAGUAAUGCUGCAUUUUUCAAUUAUUCCCGUUGAAGAAAUACUUUGCAAAUGACAACAAAGUGAAGACAAUUCUUGUCCUUUAAGCACGUCAAAGCUGCGCAGCAGUAAAUUCUCAUAAUCAAUUGCAAUAGUCUAAACAACUUACCUUCUACAGCUUUUGUCCGAUCAGCAAAAAACUCAAACCAAACUCGAACACACGGGAAAUCAUUCAGUCAAAUCACAUUUUCACAAGUUCACAAGGCACAUUAUUAUUAUUUCAAUCUACAAUACGAGAAAAAAAGAACAGAGAAAUUUCCUUGGCAGUACUCUCAGAAGCCGGAGUUGAUUACACGCGGAAAAGGUAAACACGAGAAUGACGCGGCCGCCAUGUUUGUUUUCGGCCAAGUUGCAAAAAUGUUGACAUUCAAAUCGCGCGCCACAGCUCUGCCGGAGAGAGCCGAAACCCGAGUUUUGAAAGGGUCGGGACCAUUGGUCGGGACGAGCAUACCAUUACCUUCGUUUUACUUACCUUGGUUUUGUACUGUGGUUUUCAGAAUUUCACGGAGGAAACUUUGUUUCACUGGCGUCUGUUCAAAGUUUUUAUAUGAAGCUUUGAACUCUACUGCUGAGAGACAAAUUGGUGGCCAGCAAUGUUAAUCUACCCACCAUGAUGGAGGAACCACUUAAUUCAGGACUAUCUGAUGUUCAGGCAGUUUGGCUUGCUGUUCAGUCUGUCAUCCCAGUUGUAUAUAAUCAGUGUAUGAAAGGCAGAAAAAUUGCAGAAGAAAAAAUACCUUUCCUCAUAUCACUCAUCGACAGACUAACUAAUGCAGAAUUUAAAAAUUGCUACGCCAGGAACUUCAAGAAUGAGGAUUCAACCAAGGAAGAUGAGCAUUUAGCUUUUACAACUUGGCUGCUAGGACAGCUGGUCCUUUUCCUUACAGAAUUUGACAUGGAAUCUGUGUACACCAGCUCAAAGCGUGCACAAAUUUUCAUUCUAGAGUCUAUGCUGAGCUGGACCCCUUGCAUGUUCAUUCAGAUCGUCAGCUUUUAUCUUGCCGCUAUUGAAGAUCUCUUGGCCUUCUAUAAAAUUCGAGUUGAAAAAGUUGGCACUUUAGAAAAGACUUCUCCACAAUUUCACUCCUCACAGACUUUCAAAUGGUUUGUUCCAAAUGCUGUAUCUACCUUACCAGAUUGUUUCAAUUUUGAACAAAGUCUUUUUGGGAUCAGAAGUGUUCGCAAUGCACCAAACUUCUUGAACAACUUUUAAAGGUUUUGUCUUCGCAAGUUUUUUGCGCCAUUAACUUGGGUCGAGAUUUAUGGCCUCUGGCGUUAAAUAUCCUAGACUGUGUUUCGGAGGUUAAUGUCAGGCUAGCUACUCUCGACAUCACCAUUCAACUUCUGCAGCACAAAGGAUACCCUGAAAAUAAUUCAGUAAGUUCUUUAUAGUUUGCUGUAGGCCAACUAUUUUUAUUUUUAUUUCUACUCCGGACAGUUCCAAAACUGCUAAAAAAGUGUUUUGUUUUUUUGUAGAAAUUAGUCAAGGAAAAAGAGACUAAUUUCCAACUGGUAGUAAUUUUGAAAACUCUCUUUGUGUUAUAACUAUAAAACAAAACGAACAUUAUUGAUAGGACAUGGAAAGGACAUGCAGUGCCAGAUUGGCCUGAAAACACAUCCUUUGUCAAUACAUGGUGACUGGCUCCUGUGGUGUGUUCAAUGGCUACCCCAAAAAAACAGAGAGUUGACCCGCUUAGAGCUUUUCUUCGAUCACCAAUCUGGCAAUGUCCACUUUCAUUUGAAAAUAUGCUUUAAAGCACUGAAAAAUGCAUUUCCUAGUCCCAAUUCUUCUUGAAACUGGCUUGUGACAAGUUAAAAAUUUCAAAGCCUAUCAAGUUCAGGUCACGGCACUUGUAAAAGUUGCAUUAAUUGGUGCAGAAUUUUUUUGAAAAGAGGCCUUAUCCCUUAUCCUAUUGCUCCUUUUUGACGCUUCAAUAAUUGCCAAAUUAAUUUACACUUCAUUUUUGUUUCAAGUUAAAAAAUGCAUUUUUCCAACAAAUGGAGCAGCUGCUCAAACAAGCAUGUACCGAAAACCACCUCAACUCAAAAAACGACAAGCUAUGGAUCCGAGUUGUGAAUUUAUUAGAUGAGGUUAUCGUCAUGAAAGGUUCUGGAAGUAAUGUCGUCAAUGCAUCAUUACUUAAUACAUUAUUCAUCGUCAUCAACAAUGAGAAUGUUUCACUACUCUGCAGUAAGUACAAAAAUGAAGUCAACAAAAAUCCUUCAGCUUUUAAAACUUCGAUUGCCAUGGUGUCCUCGGACCCUAGUCUAUGACGCUGUUUUGGUCCAUCAAAUUGGUGAUUACACUUGUUGAAGUUUGGUAGCUUCCAAAACCCUGCUCGCACUGUCAGCUGGUUUCCCACAUUACUGAACGUCGCUCAAUAGGUUUCUAGUGAAUUUUUCUUCCAUGAUGUAUCUCAACAUGAUUUUAUCUCUCAGUAAUGCAUAUGCUGCUUUGGUUGUUCCAUAUGUUCCUAAAACCAUGGGGAAAAAAAGCAUAGCAAGCACCGCUGAGGUGGAUUGUGGCAUUCCAUGUGGUUUUGAUACGACAAUAUUUUGGUCGGUAAGAAUGAAAGAACCUGGCGUUCGAACAAAGCACGUUAUUUUCAGCUGAUCUAUAUGUUUCAACUCUCAAAAUGUGAUUCAAUGAUUAGGAAACAUAUCAUAAUAUUGCCUAAUGUUUCCAUCAAACAGAGUUAUGAAAAAUUGCACAUUAUUUUCUUGCGCUAGAUUAAGGGCAUAAAUCUUUUUUUAUUUUCCUCUCUGGUUUGUUAUUUUCCCACCCUAAUCCUAAUUAUGUUUUCUUGCAGUUUUUACUUCUUUGAAGUUUUUUUCUUUUCCAGAUGAGUUCUUGAUAUCAAUGUGCGAUUUCGUGAAGUAUCUUCUCGACAUAACUCCUGAGUUUUUGAAACCUCUCUGAAGUUGGAUUCUUUAUUUUGCAAACUACCUGUUUGUCCCGUAAGUUUCUAGUCUGACAUUACCUUUACAAUUAAUGGGAUAGAGAAGGUUUAUUAGACCAAGCUGAUCUCAAGAGAAUUCUUCAACUGCUUGUAUCAUGCCAUGAUGAUUCCAGGGUUGCAAAAACCCCUCGACCAUGCGACCGGGCGGGGCUGCGGGGCGCAUUUGGUUGCGUGUGAAAAUGAAAAUGGGGAGGCCCCAAAGUUGGUGUUUUCAAAUGGAAAAGCCGGCAAAAUUACCAUUUUUUGCAAAGCUGCAGUAAUAAUCACAAAUAUUCUGAAAGUCGCAGUAAAAACCACUCGUUUUUUUGCAAAAUUGCAGCAAAUUACAUGUAUAGAGCCGCAAAGAAGUCAUAUUUUGAAAUUUCUGAGAAAAGGAGGGUUUUUAAAAUUGGGAGGCCAAUUUGAAGGAUGGGAAGGCUGAGAUUUUUCUGUAUCCGUGGAUGAUUCCGUCAUUUAUGUACUUUGUGAUUGCUGCAUCCAUUGCUUUAAUUUGUAUCCUUGAAAAGUAAAUUAUUAUUAUUGAUUCAGGUAACAAAUCACAAGCCAAGAAAGUUCAGGUAAUGAAUAACUUUGGUUUCUUAUCAUUCUAAUGUCUUGCUUGUCAAAAAUUAAAGGUGGGCUGGAGUCAAAUCAAAUCAAAAUUGUUAUAUGCGUCUUAUUUUGGUUUGUAUAAAUUCAUGAUAAUCUAUGGAAAAAAAAGAAUCAAGAACAAAUUACUCAGAAGUAAAAUUUAAAUGGCCAAAGUGCAAAUCCAUGUGAUUCCAUAGUGACGUUUCAAAAUUUCCACUCAUGCUUUAUUUUUUCAAUAAGAAACAAGCCACCUUAAUAGCUUGAAAUGUAUACAGAAUAUUCUGCUGACAGGGAGAAAAAUCAUGAAAGUUUUGAAGACUUCACAUCAACUGGUUUUUCAAGAAAAAUAAAUCUGUGUUGUAAUAGUCAGGAAGAAAGAGGAAAAUGACAGAUAACUUUAAAAAGACAGGGAAAACCUGGAAUUAUCAGGGGAAAUGACGAAAGUAUCAAAGAAAAAUUGCUAAGUGACCUUUAUUUGCUUUUUGAUAUUGAUUUGGCAUUUGAAAAAUAGAUAUUUCACGGAAACUGUUUAAAAUCAUAUCUUUUUUACCAUCUUUUAUAUGUUCAAUUACCAGAGAAUUUUACCAAAAUGUGUCAAGGAAAUCAGGAAAAAUUUAAGGAGAAUUCAUUUUCUUAAUUCUGUGGCAUUCCUAAAAAAAUAAAGUGUGACAGGAAGUCUUCAACAUCCCUCUUUCCUCUUUCCUCCACACUAAAAUACUUUUUCUUUUCAUUUCAGCAUUUAUUCAUGAUCCUGGAGUACAUUUAUUUUCGGAAAGUUAAUUUGCUCCACAGUGAAAAAAGUAGUGCCAAUCUAGAUCUAGAUGCAGAUUAUUCUAGGUAAUUUGUCCCUUUUUUUUCUUCAUUUUAAGUCAAUUUUUUCCUUUGACUUCCAAAUACAAAGUGGACCACCAGACAAGGUAAAAACUUAAGCACUCUGAUUAUUUUUCUGCUUCAAUUUUUUGUAUUCAACACAAUUUGCGCAGCAAAAAUUAUUGAGACUAACUCCUG
RNAcentral lists this long non-coding RNA (4604 nucleotides) under Bemisia tabaci. RNAcentral's name for it is "lncRNA ENSSSA1UGG008793". The record is from RNAcentral. Lineage: Eukaryota; Metazoa; Arthropoda; Insecta; Hemiptera; Aleyrodidae.